UUUUAAACUAGGAAUAGAUACCCUAUUAUUUUUAUUAAAUUUAAAUUUAAUUAAAAUAUUAAAUGUUAAGCAUUAAAAAUAAAAAAUUUGGCGGUAUUUAAUAUUUAGAGGAACUUGUUUAUUAAAUUGAUAAUCCACGAAUGGAAGAACUUAGUAAAAUGAUUUUUAUGUAUUGUUGUUGAAAAAUUAUAUUAAUAGAUAAUUAUUGAUAAAUUUAAUAAAAUUAUAAUUCAAAUCAAAAUGUAGAAUAAUUAAGAGUUUAAUGAGUUACAAUUAAUUAGAUAUUUGGAUUUUAAAAUAAUUUAAUUUAUAAAUGAAAAUGGAUUUAAAAAGUAAAUUUGUAAAAAAUUUAUAGGUGAAAUAUGA
This 366-nucleotide ribosomal RNA is filed under the name Camponotus sp. MG053. Its description in RNAcentral is "partial 12S ribosomal RNA". Lineage: Eukaryota; Metazoa; Arthropoda; Insecta; Hymenoptera; Formicidae. The record is from RNAcentral.